UACGGAGGGGGCUAGUGUUGUUCGGAAUUACUGGGCGUAAAGGGCGCGCAGGCGGCUUGGCAAGUCGAGUGUGAAAUCCCUUGGCUUAACUAAGGAAUGGCGCUCGAAACUACCUCGCUAGAGGACGGGAGAGGGAAGUGGAACUCUCGGUGUAGGGGUGAAAUCUGUAGAUAUCGAGAGGAACACCGGUGGCGAAGGCGGCUUCCUGGCCCGUAGCUGACGCUGAGGCGCGAAAGCGUGGGUAGCAAACAGG
RNAcentral lists this ribosomal RNA (253 nucleotides) under uncultured bacterium. RNAcentral describes it as "partial 16S ribosomal RNA". It matches the Rfam family "Bacterial small subunit ribosomal RNA", at positions 524 to 776 of the family's 1533-position model. The record is from RNAcentral.